UUAAGGGAGACCUCCCACUUGAAGACAAGAGGCACGUAGGCUAGUCUUACAACGCUGACAGUCAUUCAAGUCGGUCAACCAGGUCGUUCGAGAUUAAGUGUUUGACUCUCAGACUAUUUAGGUUUGGAGUAUGGGCUAUUAGCUCAGGUGGUUAGAGCGCACCCCUGAUAAGGGUGAGGUCCCUGGUUCGAGUCCAGGAUGGCCCACCUUUCAGAAGCCACGGCUCAGGUAUGCAAUACAGGUUGAAGAAAUUCACGUCUGCAUUGCCAGCUUGAGAUUGGAUUCUGUUCCUGGGGGUUUAGCUCAGUUGGUAGAGCGCCUGCUUUGCAAGCAGGAUGUCAGCGGUUCGAGUCCGCUAACCUCCACUGAAACUGAGUUUCAGCAACCUAGCUAGAUUAGGUCUAGUAGGACUGCUGGAACUUCUCCAGCAAGAACCUUGAAAACUGCAUAGCAACUUGUCAGGUAGAAAUCUAGAUAAUGGUUCCUAAGUCAAUGAGGAAUGGCGAAAUCCAUUCUUUGCGACUUAAGGUCAUCUUCUAGAAGUCACAGACACCAAAACAACUUUAGU
Molecule: transfer RNA, 568 nt
Filed under: Leptolyngbyaceae cyanobacterium HA4388-MV11
Lineage: Bacteria; Bacillati; Cyanobacteriota; Cyanophyceae; Leptolyngbyales; Leptolyngbyaceae
Description: 16S-23S ribosomal RNA intergenic spacer
Rfam family: tRNA (bases 293-365)
Source: RNAcentral